ACCCGGAACCCAUACGAGAAGUGCCGAGACCGGUUCCACGCUUGCCAAGCAGCUUAAAAGAAGCCAACGUGGCGUGUAAUUGCUUCGAGGGAGACAAUGACGCCGCAGAAAUGGGAACGAACCCUCCCUCUAUCACCAGCUCCAAUCCAACCAGAUGAAAGUGACCAAAUAUAUCUUCAUGAAGAUAUGGGACUAUUGCUAUGGGAACAGGAAUAUGACACUGAGCUUCCUACAGACUCCAAGAUUCCAACCAGGUAAAUUCCUAUUGUGACACUACACCCGAUAUUUGUCAUAGUAAUAUUAUUAUGAUACGAUUAUGGCAUAAUUAUGAUGCAUUUUGUAAAAGAUGGGUCAUGUAAGGUGUUAUUGGAAAAGUUAUGAAUUGCUGUAUAUGAUUAUCCUAUUUAUAUGCAUGUAUCAUUUUUGUAUCUAAAGUUAUUAAUAUUGACUAUGUAUCUGUAUUUCAUAUGUAGUUACACCUGGGUGACACCCACUAGGCAAAAUGCUUCCAGUCUAAACAGCUGGUUGUGAAGGGCCUAUUCAGGGUAAUGGGCCAUUAGGAAAAACAAUAGGCUUUAGGGAGAAGCUUAUCCCCCACCUGGUGAGCCUUCCUAAGAAUGCUCCAGACAGCCCAUAAGUAAUGGCUGCUAUGAUUCUGCAAGGGCAUGUGACCAGAGCACAUGACUCUGGACUCAAUUUUGUAUUUGUAUUUUUCUACAAACUGGGCUGGGAACUGUUUUUAGAACAAUGGGUUCCCACCACAUGCUAAAGCUAUAUAAAGCAGGGAGUGACAUCUGUUGUUCUUCAUUCCCCCACAAUAACUCAACACCUAAGAGAAGCUCUGAAAGAAAAGGACUUUGAAUGGAGGUGGGGAUCCCAAGCUGCAAAGCAAGGGCAGCUUGUGCCUUGAGAAUCUGCAAGCCUGCUUUUAUCAGUAGGUCCCUACCAAAUUCACAGUCCAUUUUGGUCAAUUUCACAGUCAUAGAUUUUAAAAAUUGUAAAUUUCAUUAUUUCAGAUAUUUAUAUCUGUAUUUCACGGUAUUGUAACUGUAGGGGUCCUGACCCAACUCUGAAGGCAGCAGCACAGAAGUAAGGGUGGUAUGGUGUAGUAUUGCAACCCUUACUUCUCUACUGCUGCUGGUGGAGCACUGCCUUCAGAGCUGGGCACCUGGCCAACAGCCACUGCUCUUUGGCCACCCAGCUCUGAAGGCAGCACAGAAGGGUGGUAAUACUGCAACCCCCCCUGCCGCCUUUCACCAGUAAUCUUGCGACUUCCCCCCACAAUUGUCUUUUGGUUUGGGAUCCCCAUUUGAGAAACAUUGGUCUCCCCCGUGAAAUCUGGUCUUUUGUGUAUUUUUACCCUAUACUAUACAGAUUUCACGGGGGAGACUAGUUUUCACAGUCCAUGAUGCAUUUUUCACAGCCAUGAAUUUGGUAGAACCCUAAUCAUUAGUCAGGGUGAGAAACUGCUAAUUCAUAUCCAAUCUUUCUCGUAUGUUAGGUUUAGAUUGUGGUUGUUUAUUUGCUAGGUAAUCUGCUUUGAUCUUUUUGCUAUCACUUAAAAUCUAUCUUUUUGUAGUUAAU
Malaclemys terrapin pileata is the source of this 1584-nucleotide long non-coding RNA. RefSeq lists it as uncharacterized. The record is from RefSeq and is a predicted model, not a curated record. Lineage: Eukaryota; Metazoa; Chordata; Testudines; Emydidae. The transcript has 3 exons.